GAACGGAAUCCGCAAGGAUUUAGUGGCGGGCGGGUGAGUAACGCGUGAGAAUCUGCCUUCAGGUCGGGGACAACAGCUGGAAACGGCUGCUAAGACCCGAUGUGCUUAAAAGUGAAAGGUUUACUGCCUGAAGAUAAGCUCGCGUCCGAUUAGCUAUUUGGUGGGGUAAUGGCCUACCAAGGCGUCGAUCGGUAACUGGUCUGAGAGGACGACCAGUCACACUGGGACUGAGACACGGGCCAGACAUCCUACGGGAGAGCAACAGUGGGGAAUUUUCCGCAAUGGGCGAAAGCCUGACGGAGCAAGAACGCGUGAGGGAUGAACGCUCUUGGGUUGUAAACCUCUUUUCUCAGGGAAGAAACCUGACGGUACCUGUAAGAAUAAGCAUCGGCUAACUCCGUGCCAGCAGCCGCGGUAAUACCGAGGAUGCAAGCGUUAUCCGGAAUUAUUGGGCGUAAAGCGUCGCAGGUGGCUGUCAAGUCUGCUGUCAAAGACCGGGGCUUAACCCUAGAAAGGCAGUGGAAACUGAGCGGCUAGAGUGCAGUAUGGGUAGAGGGAAUUCCCAGUGUAUCGGUGAAAUGCGUAUAGAUUGGGAAGAACACCGGUGGCGAAAGCGCUCUGCUGGACUGCAACUGACACUGAAGGACGAAAGCUAUGGGAGCGAAAAGGAUUAGAUACCCCUGUAGUCCUAACCGUAAACGAUGGAUACUAAGCGUUGCCGGGCUCCAACCUUGCAGUGUCCGAGCUUACGCGUUAAGUAUCCCGCGUGGGAAGUACGCACGCCAGUGUGAAACUCAAAGGAAUUGACAGGGGCCCGCACAAGCGGUGGAAUAUGUGGUUUAAUUCGAUGCAACGCGAAGAACCUUAACAAGGGCACGACAUGUCGCGCACCCCGCUUAAAAGUGGGGGUGCCUUCGGGAGCGCGAACACAGGUGGUGCAUGGCUGUCGUCAGCUCGUGUCGUGAGAUGGUGGGUUAAGUCCCGCAACGAGCGCAACCCUCGUUCUCAGUUGCCAUCAUUAAGUUGGGAACUCUUAAGAGACUGCCGGUGACAAACCGGAGGAAGGUGGGGAUGACGUCAAGUCAGCAUGCCCCAUACGUCGUGGGCAACACACGUACUACAAUGCUGCGGACAGAGGGUAGCAAGCCGGCGACGGCAAGCCAAUCCCGUAAACCGUGGCUCAGUUCAGGUCGAAGCUUGCAACUCAGCUUCGUGAAGGCGGAAUCGGUAGUAAUCGCAGGUCAGCAUACUGCGGUGAAUACGUUCCCGGGCCUUGUACACACCGCCCGUCACACCAUGGGAGCUGGUUUAGCCC
This 1315-nucleotide ribosomal RNA is filed under the name uncultured cyanobacterium. Its description in RNAcentral is "bacterial SSU rRNA". It matches the Rfam family "Bacterial small subunit ribosomal RNA", at positions 64 to 1422 of the family's 1533-position model. The record is from RNAcentral. Lineage: Bacteria; Bacillati; Cyanobacteriota.